CAGAAGGUAGUUUAACGAUAAUCUUGACUUUGGGGGCCAAGGGUGAAAGUUUGAAUCUUUCUUUUCUGA
Molecule: transfer RNA, 69 nt
Filed under: Hydrolagus mitsukurii (spookfish)
Lineage: Eukaryota; Metazoa; Chordata; Chondrichthyes; Chimaeriformes; Chimaeridae
Also listed under: 2 other names
Description: tRNA-Pro
Rfam family: tRNA
About the family: Transfer RNA (tRNA) molecules are approximately 80 nucleotides in length. Their secondary structure includes four short double-helical elements and three loops (D, anti-codon, and T loops). Further hydrogen bonds mediate the characteristic L-shaped molecular structure. tRNAs have two regions of fundamental functional importance: the anti-codon, which is responsible for specific mRNA codon recognition, and the 3' end, to which the tRNAs corresponding amino acid is attached (by aminoacyl-tRNA synthetases). tRNAs cope with the degeneracy of the genetic code in two manners: having more than one tRNA (with a specific anti-codon) for a particular amino acid; and 'wobble' base-pairing, i.e. permitting non-standard base-pairing at the 3rd anti-codon position.
Source: RNAcentral